GGAAUUGUUCGCAAUGGGCGAAAGCCUGACGACGCAACGCCGCGUGGAGGAUGAAGACUUUCGGGUCGUAAACUCCUUUCGACCGAGAUGAACACCUGCCGGCCUAAUACGUCGGCAGGCUGACAGUAUCGAGGGAAGAAGCCCCGGCUAACUCCUGUCCCGCAGCCGCGGUAAUACGGGGGGGGCAAGCGUUGUUCGGAAGUACUGGGCGUAAAGGGUUCGUAGGUGGCCAACUAAGUCGGACGUGAAAUCCCUCGGCUCAACCGGGGAACUGCGUCUGAUACUGGAUGGCUCGAGUGCAGGAGAGGAACGCGGAAUUCCAGGUGUAGCGGUGAAAUGCGUAGAUAUCUGGAGGAACACCGGUGGCGAAGGCGGCGUUCUGGACUGCAACUGACACUGAGGAACGAAAGCCAGGGGAGCAA
This 422-nucleotide ribosomal RNA is filed under the name uncultured bacterium. RNAcentral's name for it is "bacterial SSU rRNA". It matches the Rfam family "Bacterial small subunit ribosomal RNA", at positions 358 to 771 of the family's 1533-position model. The record is from RNAcentral.